This is a long non-coding RNA of Mus musculus (house mouse), 2893 nucleotides long. RefSeq annotates it as predicted gene, 38316. The transcript is spliced from 2 exons. The record is from RefSeq and is a predicted model, not a curated record. Lineage: Eukaryota; Metazoa; Chordata; Mammalia; Rodentia; Muridae.
UGUUUCAAAACAACAGAACAAACAACCAGACUUGCUAGGAAGCUCUGUUGUGUAACAGUUAAUCUUUCCACCUCCUGCUGCUCCCUCUCCCUCUCCCUCUCCCUCCUUUCAUCUUGGCUUCCCCCCACACUAAGGUAUUUUGUUCUUCAGAAAGCAAAGAACAAGGUACAUAACUCAUAACCAAGUACUAGUAUCAACAGGGAGCUGGUCGUGGUGAGGCAGAUCUUUAAAAUCCCAGCAUUAGGAGGAGGAGGAGCAAGGCAGGAAGAUCUCUGCCAGUUUGAGGGUUCCAAAACAGAACGAAGACAAACCCUGUCUAGUCAGCCUGGACCUUCUCACAGUCCCAAGUCCAAUUUUAUCACACCCAACUGCAAAGAUCAAAGAUUGCUCCUAGGAGUGGAAGAACGGAGGUGUACACAAAUUGAACACAACUAAAAAAGCCUUUUUUUUUUCUUCCACCCAGAGAGCUUUAUGUAUCAGAGACUUAAAGACAUGGCAGACCCAGACAUUAGUAUAACUUGAGCCUAGCCUGGAGGUAUAGCAAGACCUUGUCACAAACUGCAACAGAGUAUACUAUAGGAAACAAAACAGGAUUAUAACACAACAGGUUAUCCACAAUGAAACAAUUAGGUAGGGCAGGGACAGAUAGAGCCACAGGGUGACAAACAGAAGCAAGUAAGUAGGCAAGAAUUUAGGAUGCAGUCCUAAAGGGCCGGAAGUAUGAGGCUUGGCCACCCGGCCAUGUCCAGCCAUAGCUCACAGUCCCCGAGGACACGUCGGACCUGAGAUCAUCCUAAAGCCACUGUGAUCCCUACAGCUCUGCGAUUGGACUCAAAUUCUUGACCCUCCUGGCUCAGCCUCCAGAGCACUGAAGUUUCAGGUGAGCACUACAUUCAAGUAGAUAUUGGAUAAUUUGGUUGGCUUUGGUGUUUGAUUCAAUAGAAUUGAGAACCUUGAAUGUGUUAAGCAAAUGGUUUACUACUGAGCUGUACCUAAACCCACUGACAGGAUAUGUAUGUGUGUUUGUGCAUGUGUGUAUGGACAUGCUCAUGUUUAUACAGGUGUCUGUGUGUGCAUAUGGAGGUCAGAGGACUACCUUGUAUAUCAUUCCCCAGGUACUGACGCCUUCAUUUGUUUGUUUGAGAAAAGUCUUCUACUAGGCUUUAACCCAGCAAGUUGGCCUUCCCAGAUCCAGAGACCAGGCACCCUCCUUGACUUCCCCAGCACUGGAACUAUGAAUGGAAACCACUACCACGCCUGAUCCUUCAUGGUUUCAAGGUAGGCACUUUACUGACUGAUCUAUUCCCAGCUCCUUAAACACUCAAAUAUGUAAAGUGCUGGAAAACAGAAACAAGAAAAUGUUAUGAAUUUAUGCAAAAGUUCAGUUGGAGUGAAAACUGAACAUCACAAUGUGGGAUUGGUAUAUAAAAAAAAAAAAGACUGUGUGUUAGCUGAGAGUACUCCACUUUCCUCUCACCCACAUUUCCCCCUUAAAUGUUGGGUCCCAGCAAGAGUUUGGAAAUAUCGUAGCCAUGGAAUCAUUCUGGAGACAGACAAGAUGGCAAAGCUUAUCUUCCAUAACAGACUAGCUGGGGCAAAUCUUGCUGAUGUACCUAUGCUGUAAGUGGGUGACGCACACUUGAGUACGUUGCUUGACUAGCUGCAGUCUUGUUCAAGUGUUUAUCUCUCACCUUAGCACAGGAUGUUGGCAUGGCUUAUUACUGGAUGAGGCUGGAAGGCAGAUAUUGUACAGAAGUCACUACCCUCAUAAUUUUCAUGUCGUCUCUAGGGUGUAUUUUCACUUCUAAAUGAUUUGAACUUUGGGUUCCUGAGGUUGGCUGUCUCCAUUGGACGUUGUGCAGUAUAUGCUAGAAUCCUGAAGCAGGCUGUGAUGCCAGUGAAGGGAUGGACUUGCUAGCAGCACAAGCACAAGAGUAAGCACAUGAAGAGCAGUUUCCUUCCUCCAUGUUCUUCCUUAUAUAGCCUCCCAUCAGCAGGCACAGGCCAGAUUAGAGCUGGAUCGAAGGUGAAUAUUCCCAACUCAAGAUUGAGAUUAAAGAUGUGUCUUCCUACCUCAAAGAUUCAGAUUAAAAGUAGAUCUUUCCAUUUCAAAUGAAGCAAAAGUCCCUCAGUUAUGCCCUCUAUUUGAGUUGUUUGUUUUUUUUUUUAAUUCCAAUCAUAGUCAAGUUGAUAACCAAGAAUAGCCAUUCCAUGGUGUUUAAGCAGAGAAGGAGUGUGAACCAACUUUACAGGCUUGGUUGGAGUUGGAAUGAAUGUAGCCAUCACCAUGACAAAUGGCGGCAGACAAAAGUGUAUCUGCUGCUGCACUGUCAAUAUAGAUCUGGAAAGAGCAUGACUCAGAAAUUAGAGCAGAGAAAAAAAAACAAUGCGAAAAAAAAAAAAAAAAAAAAGGCAGUGCUGGAGAAGUGAGAUCUGUGAGAUGCAGAUACUCAAGCAAUGGAGUAAAUGGAGAACGUGGGAAAUGAAGGCUAGGAACAAGUCUGAAAGAAGUAGUCGCAUCCCCUCCACACACACACCAUUUUUUCCCCUUCAUCCCUUGCUACUCACGCACCAACUCAUCUCCAUUCUUAGCUGCUUUUGGAACAUGUGGUCCCCAAAGCUUUUCAAGUCGUUUUUGGCCGAUGCCCCAGCUUCAUACCGAACCACACACAAAAGAAAAGUACUCGAUCUCUUUAUUCUCAAAACAUUGUGAUACUAAAUAAAAUCCAAGAGGUAUUGGGUUGAUCUUUGGUCCUUAGGGCUUUAGACUGAGCCCAGAACAUGUCUGUCAUCUCCAAGAUGUAGAAGGUACUGUUUGAAGGCAUAUAUCUCAAGUGUGGGAGGAAUGGGCUCCAGCUCUUCCAGAGGAAUGAAAGUUAAUUUGAGAAGGCAA